UGGAGAACACAAACAUUAACCACAUAAUGAGACGAGAAAAUUUAUAUUUUGAGUCUCACAAAUUAAAAAAACACAUUACUACAAAAGUUUUUUUUUUUUUCAUUUCUACAUUGAGCUAAACUUUGAGGAAAACAAAACUACAACAACGCAGGCGCCACUACUCGUAUAACUUUGCAAGAUUAAGCCAUACCCCCGCUGGUUGCUGUCCUUAUUAUCUGGAACAAAGAUGAGCCAAUGACAACAAAGACGAAGAAUCCAAGCAAGAUAGGGCCAACUGGAUACUGGCUUCCCUUCUUUGCAGUAGUUUCAGGAACAGCUCCUCGCUUGGUAAUAUUUUUCUCAAACCUCUCCACCUUCCUAUCAGCAAGACGCCUUGAUGUAGUCAUUUUAAAAGGAAAAUGUGGUGGCCGCCGAUAUAUGAGAACAGAAAAAUUGCAGAGAGAAUUAUAUUUCAGCUAAAAGUUGUUCCUCCUUCCCUUUGCCCCAAUUUUA
Molecule: unclassified non-coding RNA, 492 nt
Filed under: Hevea brasiliensis (rubber tree)
Lineage: Eukaryota; Viridiplantae; Streptophyta; Magnoliopsida; Malpighiales; Euphorbiaceae
Source: RNAcentral